GCUGUCAACUAAAACCUCUCUGGGUUUUGAAAAUCCAACAAGUGAACUGAUUCUGCCUCCACGUUUUCUGUUUGUUGGUUCCUCCUCCGACCAGCAGGCGGCGCCUCCUGCUUUGGAUUGAGGCUGUUUGUGAGGAAGUUGAGGUCGAUCAGCUGCAGCUGAUUCUGGUUUGUUGUUGUUCCUGUUGUGGCUGUACAGUAACUACAGAUACAGGAUGCAGGACAGUGAAUCCAGCUUCUCCUCCUCCACCUCCUCCUGAAGCCUUCAUCUUCUUCAUCAUCAGCUGCUCAGUGACUCUGUUGGACGUCUCACCGUGUGGCAGCAGCUCAGGAGUUUGCAGUCAACCAAGGCCGACUCAGAAUCACUCCCACCGGGAAGAUCUGUGAAGGAAGGUCCACCCGGCUGGUCCAGAAGCUCCGGUCCAGCAGAGCAGCGUCAGGAUGGAGACGUAACCGGGAACCACCCUUGAACUCCAGUCCAGUGACACUCCACUCCACACCACAGACCACAACCUUUCCACUCCACAAUCACCCUCCACAAGGUUCCCAGCGGGGAUUCGAACCAUGCCCGUCCACAUGACAGACAUACACCCUCUGUGUGAGCUAUCUUUCACACAAGGUCCCUGGUGGAGUUUGUUGUAAUGAUGGUUGCAAGAGGUGUCAUGCAGCCAAAGUUUAAAAAGAGCCUUGAGCUGGAUUCAAACCAAGGACCUCCUGGAUGAGAGGCAGAUAACUUACCACUGCACUAUCCUUCCUACUGGGUAUAGCUGUUAGUUUUCGUAAAUGAUGGUACACAAAAGUAUUAAGGAAGUGAAGAUAAUAAAGGUACUAAGGUGGAUUUGAGAGGCAAAAAACUUACCCCUACACCAGGUGUCCUACAAGAUGUUGCUCUAACUUUGCUUAAAUGAUGCUAUCAAUUAGUACUGGCGCAACCAAACAACAAAUAAAAGGUGUGAGUGGAGAUCUGAAUCAUGCGAGGUUGUUUCUGACACUGAAUACACCCAAUCUCAUCUGAUCUGCAAAGCUAAGCAGGGUUGGGCCAGGUUAGUAUUUGGAUGGGAGACUACCUGGGAAUACCAGGUGCUGUAAGCUUUUUACUUCUCCUCACAACCUCAGCAAGACACUGCUGGUCAUUCACUAGAGACAGCUAUCAACUAAAACCUCUUGGUUUCUUUAUUAUACACUCUAUGAGGUGGAUAAGCUGCAGCUCAUGCUGAUUUAUUGCUGGUUCUGGUUGGAGCCAAAGAACAAACGCGUCACCUGUUGGAGCAGCUGAUGUCCUGCAGCCUCUUCACCACAGAAAGCCUCUGACAGCUUCAAUUCUUUACACUCCGACUGCACGACACCAAUCACAUAGGAACAUUUACAUGUAUGGAACAAAGAGCUGAGCUGACACUCAACAUGUGUUUGAGCAUUUAUUGAUAAAGACAUUCAAACAUGUCUAGAGAUAGAACACCAAUGCACGGUAUAAGAAAGGUCAGAACAGACUUCACCUGCUCAGGAAACUGAGGUCCUUCGGGGUGCAGGGAGCAAUUCUGAGGACCUUUUAUGGUUGUGUGGUGGUAUCAGCCAUCCUGUAUGGACUGGUCUGCUGGAGCAGCAGCAUCACGGCUGCAGACAGGAAGAGACUAAAGAAACUGGUUAAGAAAGCAAGCUCUGUCCUGGGCUGGUGGUAGACAGGAGGAUGAUGACAAAGCUGUUGUCUAUCAUGGAGGACAUCUCCCACCCCCUGCAGGAAACAGGACCAUCACCGGCAGCUCCUUCAGGGACAGACUGCUUCACCCACGAUGUUUGAAGGAGGUCCUUCCUUCCUGCAGCAGUCAGACUGUGUUCAAUCAAGCCUGCUCCCAGUAGUUCAGAUCACCCAUGAAGUAACUGCAAUAAAAUGUAAAUAAGUCAAUAUGUGCAAUUUCACAGGUUUUUUUUUUUUAACAAGC
Amphiprion ocellaris (clown anemonefish) is the source of this 1936-nucleotide long non-coding RNA. NCBI's taxonomy places the organism in Eukaryota, Metazoa, Chordata, Actinopteri, Pomacentridae. The record is from Ensembl.